AAAAUUUAGUUAAUUUAUAACAUUAGCUUGUCAAGCUAAAAUUAUUCGAUGUGAGAAUAAUUUUUA
This 66-nucleotide transfer RNA is filed under the name Hecataeus sp. BMNH 704468. Its description in RNAcentral is "tRNA-Asp". Lineage: Eukaryota; Metazoa; Arthropoda; Insecta; Coleoptera; Chrysomelidae. The record is from RNAcentral.